This 253-nucleotide ribosomal RNA is filed under the name uncultured bacterium. RNAcentral's name for it is "partial 16S ribosomal RNA". It matches the Rfam family "Bacterial small subunit ribosomal RNA", at positions 524 to 776 of the family's 1533-position model. The record is from RNAcentral.
UACGUAGGGGGCUAGCGUUGUCCGGAAUCAUUGGGCGUAAAGCGCGUGUAGGCGGCCCGGUAAGUCCGCUGUGAAAGUCGGGGGCUCAACCCUCGGAUGCCGGUGGAUACUGUCGGGCUCGAGUGCGGAAGAGGCGAGUGGAAUUCCUGGUGUAGCGGUGAAAUGCGCAGAUAUCAGGAGGAACACCAAUUGCGAAGGCAGCUCGCUGGGACGUUACUGACGCUGAGACGCGAAAGCGUGGGGAGCGAUCCGG